AUUUCAACAGUAUACAAAGUACGCUUAAUUUCCAAUUAAGAAGAAAAAAGAAACA
RNAcentral lists this transfer RNA (55 nucleotides) under Oribatula sp. XFX. RNAcentral's name for it is "tRNA-Gly". Lineage: Eukaryota; Metazoa; Arthropoda; Arachnida; Sarcoptiformes; Oribatulidae. The record is from RNAcentral.